Molecule: ribosomal RNA, 373 nt
Filed under: uncultured bacterium
Lineage: Bacteria
Description: bacterial SSU rRNA
Rfam family: Bacterial small subunit ribosomal RNA
Source: RNAcentral
ACGUAGGGUGCGAGCGUUAAUCGGAAUUACUGGGCGUAAAGGGUGCGCAGGCGGUUAUUUAAGACAGAUGUGAAAUCCCCGGGCUCAACCUGGGAACUGCGUUUGUGACUGAAUGGCUAGAGUGCGGCAGAGGGGGGUGGAAUUCCACGUGUAGCAGUGAAAUGCGUAGAGAUGUGGAGGAACACCGAUGGCGAAGGCAGCCCCCUGGGCCAGCACUGACGCUCAUGCACGAAAGCGUGGGGAGCAAACAGGAUUAGAUACCCUGGUAGUCCACGCCCUAAACGAUGUCAACUAGGUGUUGGGGAAGGAGACUUUCUUAGUACCGCAGCUAACGCGUGAAGUUGACCGCCUGGGGAGUACGGUCGCAAGAUUA